Molecule: unclassified non-coding RNA, 334 nt
Filed under: soil metagenome
Description: partial contains 5.8S ribosomal RNA, internal transcribed spacer 2, and large subunit ribosomal RNA
Rfam family: 5.8S ribosomal RNA (bases 1-120)
Source: RNAcentral
GAUGAAGAACGUAGCGAAAUGCGAUACGUAAUGUGAAUUGCAGAAUUCAGUGAAUCAUCGAAUCUUUGAACGCACAUUGCGCCUGCCAGCACUCUGGCAGGCAUGCCUGUUCGAGCGUCAUUUCAACCAUCAAGCCCUAGGCUGGCGUUGGAGCCCUGCGGCUGCCGCAGGCCCCUAAAAGCAGUGGCGGGCUCGCUAUCACACCGAGUGCAGUAGAUUACUCUUCGCUCAGGGCGUGUGGCGGGUUCCAGCCGUGAAACCCCCUACUUCUCAAGGUUGACCUCGGAUCAGGUAGGAAUACCCGCUGAACUUAAGCAUAUCAAUAAGCGGAGGA